RNAcentral lists this ribosomal RNA (460 nucleotides) under uncultured bacterium. Its description in RNAcentral is "partial 16S ribosomal RNA". It matches the Rfam family "Bacterial small subunit ribosomal RNA", at positions 338 to 795 of the family's 1533-position model. The record is from RNAcentral.
CCUACGGGAGGCAGCAGUGAGGAAUAUUGGUCAAUGGGCGCGAACCUGAACCAGCCAAGUAGCGUGAAGGAUGACUGCCCUACGGGUUGUAAACUUCUUUUAUAAAGGAAUAAAGUGAGGCACGGGUGCCUUUUUGGAUGUACUUUAUGAAUAAGGAGCGGCUAACUCCGUGCCAGCAGCCGCGGUAAUACGGAGGAUACGAGCGUUAUCCGGAUUUAUUGGGUGUAAAGGGAGCGUAGAUGGGUUGUUAAGUCAGUUGUGAAAGUUGGGGGCUCAACCGUAAAAUUGCAAUUGAUACUGGCAGUCUUGAGUACAGUUGAGGUAGGCGGAAUUCGUGGUGUAGCGGUGAAAUGCUUAGAUAUCACGAAGAACUCCGAUUGCGAAGGCAGCUUACUAAACUGCCACUGACAUUGAUGCUCGAAAGUGUGGGUAUCAAACAGGAUUAGAUACCCUUGUAGUC